AAGGAAGGAGCAAUAUGGAUUGCGGAUUGGUUUGAAGCCUUUUUAUGGGGUUCAAUUCCCCUCUUUCUUG
Molecule: transfer RNA, 70 nt
Filed under: Phrynocephalus maculatus (blacktail toadhead agama)
Lineage: Eukaryota; Metazoa; Chordata; Lepidosauria; Squamata; Agamidae
Description: tRNA-Ser
Source: RNAcentral